RNAcentral lists this ribosomal RNA (2744 nucleotides) under Klebsiella pneumoniae. RNAcentral describes it as "bacterial LSU rRNA". It matches the Rfam family "Bacterial large subunit ribosomal RNA". The record is from RNAcentral. Lineage: Bacteria; Pseudomonadati; Pseudomonadota; Gammaproteobacteria; Enterobacterales; Enterobacteriaceae.
ACUAUCGUUAACUGAAUACAUAGGUUAACGAGGCGAACCGGGGGAACUGAAACAUCUAAGUACCCCGAGGAAAAGAAAUCAACCGAGAUUCCCCCAGUAGCGGCGAGCGAACGGGGAGCAGCCCAGAGUCUGAAUCAGCUUGUGUGUUAGUGGAACGGUCUGGAAAGUCCGACGGUACAGGGUGAUAGUCCCGUACACCAAAAUGCACAGGCUGUGAACUCGAAGAGUAGGGCGGGACACGUGGUAUCCUGUCUGAAUAUGGGGGGACCAUCCUCCAAGGCUAAAUACUCCUGACUGACCGAUAGUGAACCAGUACCGUGAGGGAAAGGCGAAAAGAACCCCGGCGAGGGGAGUGAAAAAGAACCUGAAACCGUGUACGUACAAGCAGUGGGAGCACCUUCGGGUGUGACUGCGUACCUUUUGUAUAAUGGGUCAGCGACUUAUAUUCUGUAGCAAGGUUAACCGUAUAGGGGAGCCGCAGGGAAACCGAGUCUUAACUGGGCGUUAAGUUGCAGGGUAUAGACCCGAAACCCGGUGAUCUAGCCAUGGGCAGGUUGAAGGUUGGGUAACACUAACUGGAGGACCGAACCGACUAAUGUUGAAAAAUUAGCGGAUGACUUGUGGCUGGGGGUGAAAGGCCAAUCAAACCGGGAGAUAGCUGGUUCUCCCCGAAAGCUAUUUAGGUAGCGCCUCGUGAAUUCAUCUUCGGGGGUAGAGCACUGUUUCGGCUAGGGGGUCAUCCCGACUUACCAACCCGAUGCAAACUACGAAUACCGAAGAAUGUUAUCACGGGAGACACACGGCGGGUGCUAACGUCCGUCGUGAAGAGGGAAACAACCCAGACCGCCAGCUAAGGUCCCAAAGUCAUGGUUAAGUGGGAAACGAUGUGGGAAGGCACAGACAGCCAGGAUGUUGGCUUAGAAGCAGCCAUCAUUUAAAGAAAGCGUAAUAGCUCACUGGUCGAGUCGGCCUGCGCGGAAGAUGUAACGGGGCUAAACCAUGCACCGAAGCUGCGGCAGCGACACUAUGUGUUGUUGGGUAGGGGAGCGUUCUGUAAGCCUGCGAAGGUGNUGCUGGAGGUAUCAGAAGUGCGAAUGCUGACAUAAGUAACGAUAAAGCGGGUGAAAAGCCCGCUCGCCGGAAGACCAAGGGUUCCUGUCCAACGUUAAUCGGGGCAGGGUGAGUCGACCCCUAAGGCGAGGCCGAAAGGCGUAGUCGAUGGGAAACAGGUUAAUAUUCCUGUACUUGGUGUUACUGCGAAGGGGGGACGGAGAAGGCUAUGUUAGCCGGGCGACGGUUGUCCCGGUUUAAGCAUGUAGGCUGGUUGUCCAGGCAAAUCCGGAUAAUCAAGGCUGAGGUGUGAUGACGAGGCACUACGGUGCUGAAGUAACAAAUGCCCUGCUUCCAGGAAAAGCCUCUAAGCAUCAGGUAACAUCAAAUCGUACCCCAAACCGACACAGGUGGUCAGGUAGAGAAUACCAAGGCGCUUGAGAGAACUCGGGUGAAGGAACUAGGCAAAAUGGUGCCGUAACUUCGGGAGAAGGCACGCUGGUGUGUAGGUGAAGUCCCUGCGGAUGGAGCUGAGACCAGUCGAAGAUACCAGCUGGCUGCAACUGUUUAUUAAAAACACAGCACUGUGCAAACACGAAAGUGGACGUAUACGGUGUGACGCCUGCCCGGUGCCGGAAGGUUAAUUGAUGGGGUUAUCCGUAAGGAGAAGCUCUUGAUCGAAGCCCCGGUAAACGGCGGCCGUAACUAUAACGGUCCUAAGGUAGCGAAAUUCCUUGUCGGGUAAGUUCCGACCUGCACGAAUGGCGUAAUGAUGGCCAGGCUGUCUCCACCCGAGACUCAGUGAAAUUGAACUCGCUGUGAAGAUGCAGUGUACCCGCGGCAAGACGGAAAGACCCCGUGAACCUUUACUAUAGCUUGACACUGAACAUUGAGCCUUGAUGUGUAGGAUAGGUGGGAGGCUUUGAAGCGUGGACGCCAGUCUGCGUGGAGCCAACCUUGAAAUACCACCCUUUAAUGUUUGAUGUUCUAACGUUGGCCCCUUACCGGGGUUGCGGACAGUGUCUGGUGGGUAGUUUGACUGGGGCGGUCUCCUCCCAAAGCGUAACGGAGGAGCACGAAGGUUAGCUAAUCCUGGUCGGACAUCAGGAGGUUAGUGCAAUGGCAUAAGCUAGCUUGACUGCGAGCGUGACGGCGCGAGCAGGUGCGAAAGCAGGUCAUAGUGAUCCGGUGGUUCUGAAUGGAAGGGCCAUCGCUCAACGGAUAAAAGGUACUCCGGGGAUAACAGGCUGAUACCGCCCAAGAGUUCAUAUCGACGGCGGUGUUUGGCACCUCGAUGUCGGCUCAUCACAUCCUGGGGCUGAAGUAGGUCCCAAGGGUAUGGCUGUUCGCCAUUUAAAGUGGUACGCGAGCUGGGUUUAGAACGUCGUGAGACAGUUCGGUCCCUAUCUGCCGUGGGCGCUGGAGAAUUGAGGGGGGCUGCUCCUAGUACGAGAGGACCGGAGUGGACGCAUCACUGGUGUUCGGGUUGUCAUGCCAAUGGCACUGCCCGGUAGCUAAAUGCGGAAGAGAUAAGUGCUGAAAGCAUCUAAGCACGAAACUUGCCCCGAGAUGAGUUCUCCCUGAGACUUUAAGUCUCCUGAAGGAACGUUAAAGACGAUGACGUUGAUAGGCCGGGUGUGUAAGCGCAGCGAUGCGUUGAGCUAACCGGUACUAAUGAACCGUGAGGCUUAACC